UUAUGAACAUGCACAGACUUACUAUUACACUGAGAUCAGAAGAGUGAAAUCCCAUAAAGAAUUUUUGAAUAAAACAACACACCAGCUUUUAUUUGUUAGACAUCAGUUCAAAAUAGCCUUCUUCAGUGAGUUGAAACAAGAUACACAAAAUGCUCUGAAGAAUUACAGGACCGCCUAUAAUCUUGUACAUGAAUUGAGAGCCCAUGAAACUAACAUUCUGGAAAUUAAGAAUAUGGCAGGAUUUAUAAAC
Molecule: long non-coding RNA, 250 nt
Organism: Galeopterus variegatus (Sunda flying lemur)
Lineage: Eukaryota; Metazoa; Chordata; Mammalia; Dermoptera; Cynocephalidae
Exons: 3
Source: RefSeq, a predicted model, not a curated record